This 546-nucleotide ribosomal RNA is filed under the name uncultured bacterium. RNAcentral describes it as "partial 16S ribosomal RNA". It matches the Rfam family "Bacterial small subunit ribosomal RNA", at positions 355 to 893 of the family's 1533-position model. The record is from RNAcentral.
UGGGGAAUUUUGGACAAUGGGGGCAACCCUGAUCCAGCAAUGCCGCGUGUGUGAAGAAGGCCUUCGGGUUGUAAAGCACUUUUGUCCGGAAAGAAAACGCCGUGGUUAAUACCCGUGGCGGAUGACGGUACCGGAAGAAUAAGCACCGGCUAACUACGUGCCAGCAGCCGCGGUAAUACGUAGGGUGCAAGCGUUAAUCGGAAUUACUGGGCGUAAAGCGUGCGCAGGCGGUCCGCUAAGACAGAUGUGAAAUCCCCCGGGCUUAACCUGGGAACUGCAUUUGUGACUGGCGGGCUAGAGUAUGGCAGAGGGGGGUAGAAUUCCACGUGUAGCAGUGAAAUGCGUAGAGAUGUGGAGGAAUACCGAUGGCGAAGGCAGCCCCCUGGGCCAAUACUGACGCUCAUGCACGAAAGCGUGGGGAGCAAACAGGAUUAGAUACCCUGGUAGUCCACGCCCUAAACGAUGUCAACUAGUUGUCGGGUCUUCAUUGACUUGGUAACGUAGCUAACGCGUGAAGUUGACCGCCUGGGGAGUACGGUCGCAAGA